GCACAGGGAUGCUGGGUGCUGGGUUCUCAGGGAUGCUGGGUGCACAGGGAUGCUGGGUGCUGGAUUCCCAGGGAUGCUGGGUGCUGUGCUCAUUACAGGACUGCACUUUGGCCACCCCAGAUGCCACGAGCCCUUGUUGUCACACGAUCCUAGUGGGGCUGGGGGUGGGAGGUCCAGCCUGGAUGGGUGCAGCGGGUCAGUGCUGCCAUCCCAGGAGCCAGCACGGACACGGGAGAGCCCGGCUGGACACGCUGGGGCAGCAGAGCCGGCAGGAGACGGACACACAGAUGGCCAUGGCCGCUCUCUUGGAGAGACGGGACCCUAAUCCUCCCCAUGGGUCCCAUUAUCAUCCCUAGCUGGUGAAAAAACUCUCAUCCUGGAUGUGUCUAAUCCUAAUCACUCCCUAUCGCCCAGGACCACUUCAGACGGGCCAGACGGACAGACGAGGCCUCUCCUGCCUGGAAUAUCUGCACAGGCAGCCCCGGGGGGGGACAGAGGGGGGGACAGGCCACCCCUUCGCUCCUAAUCCCUCGGCGAGCCCUUCAUUUGAAAGGGGAUUUGCUGUUUAUUCCCUCCGCAGGCUCCACGAUCAUCGCAGGGGUCAACAUCUGAGCUGGGAGAGCCUUGUUAAAACAUAAGAGGGCAGGUGCAGCUUGCGACAGGUCUGAACGGCUGCCAGCCGGCUCGGAAAUCCCAAACACAUCUGUGCUCAUCAGUUGGACACCAGAUGGGCCCAGGCGUGUUUUAUCAGCUGGAGGUCAGGCCCCUCUUGGGAUGAGGGGCGGGCUGGGGCCACACCAGAGCUCACAGUCACAGCUCUCUGAGUGCUGGCUCUGCCCCAGCUUCUCCCCCAAACCCCCCAGGGACAGCCCUGUCCUUGCACCAUGGGAUGGGAGCUGCAGAGCCCUGCCUGCAUUAAA
Prinia subflava (tawny-flanked prinia) is the source of this 920-nucleotide long non-coding RNA. RefSeq lists it as uncharacterized. The record is from RefSeq and is a predicted model, not a curated record. Lineage: Eukaryota; Metazoa; Chordata; Aves; Passeriformes; Cisticolidae. The transcript is spliced from 3 exons.